Molecule: non-coding RNA, 23 nt
Filed under: Cricetulus griseus (Chinese hamster)
Lineage: Eukaryota; Metazoa; Chordata; Mammalia; Rodentia; Cricetidae
Source: RNAcentral
GGCAGACCUGGAGUUAAAACAUU